GCGGCUCACUAGAUCAACAGAUCUGCCUCGAGUGCUCGCCACCCUGUCAAGGUGGAGAUCAGGGGUUCGAAUCCCCUCUGGGACGCU
Molecule: transfer RNA, 87 nt
Filed under: Planctomycetaceae bacterium
Lineage: Bacteria; Pseudomonadati; Planctomycetota; Planctomycetia; Planctomycetales; Planctomycetaceae
Description: tRNA-Asp
Rfam family: tRNA
About the family: Transfer RNA (tRNA) molecules are approximately 80 nucleotides in length. Their secondary structure includes four short double-helical elements and three loops (D, anti-codon, and T loops).
Source: RNAcentral